Molecule: non-coding RNA, 29 nt
Filed under: Mus musculus (house mouse)
Lineage: Eukaryota; Metazoa; Chordata; Mammalia; Rodentia; Muridae
Source: RNAcentral
UGGUUCAUCUAUUGACAACAGUCUGUUGU